AAUCAACGCUGGCGGCGUGCCUUAUGCAUGCAAGUCGAACGAGGUUAGAAUUUCGGUUCGAAGCCUAGUGGCGGACGGGUGAGUAACACGUACGUGACCUGUCCAGAAGUGGGGAAUAACCGGCCGAAAGGUUGGCUAAUACCGCAUGUGGUCACCCCUUGGAAGGGGAUGACGAAAGCCGAAAGGCGCUUCUGGAGGAGCGUGUGGCCGAUUAGCUAGUUGGUGUGGUAACGGCGCACCAAGGCGAUGAUCGGUAGCUGGUCUGAGAGGAUGGUCAGCCACACUGGGACUGAGAUACGGCCCAGACUCCUACGGGAGGCAGCAGCAGGGAAUUUUGCGCAAUGGGCGAAAGCCUGACGCAGCAACGCCGC
RNAcentral lists this ribosomal RNA (371 nucleotides) under uncultured bacterium. RNAcentral's name for it is "bacterial SSU rRNA". It matches the Rfam family "Bacterial small subunit ribosomal RNA", at positions 32 to 400 of the family's 1533-position model. The record is from RNAcentral.